This 407-nucleotide ribosomal RNA is filed under the name uncultured bacterium. Its description in RNAcentral is "partial 16S ribosomal RNA". It matches the Rfam family "Bacterial small subunit ribosomal RNA", at positions 30 to 526 of the family's 1533-position model. The record is from RNAcentral.
AUUGAACGCUAGCGGGAUGCCUUACACAUGCAAGUCGAACGGAGUGGCGAACGGGCGAGUAAUGUAUCGGAACGUGCCCAGUAGCGGGGGAUAACUACGCGAAAGCGUAGCUAAUACCGCAUACUAUUGGAGCGGCCGAUGUCGGAGUAGAUAGUUGGUGGGGUAACGGCUUACCAAGGCGACGAACGGUAGCUGGUUUGAGAGGACGACCAGCCACACUGGGACUGAGACACGGCCCAGACUCCUAGGGGAGGCAGCAGUGGGGAAUUUUGGACAAUGGGGGAAACCCUGGUCCAGCCAUCCCGCGUGUGCGAUGAGGGCCUUCGGGUUGUACAGCACUUUUGGCAGGAAAGCGGUACCUGCAGAAUAAGCACCGGCUAACUACGUGCCAGCAGCCGCGGUAAUUC